This is a non-coding RNA of Meleagris gallopavo (turkey), 12213 nucleotides long. Lineage: Eukaryota; Metazoa; Chordata; Aves; Galliformes; Phasianidae. The record is from RefSeq and is a predicted model, not a curated record.
UAUUAUUUUUCUUCCUUCCUGUUUUUUCUGGAUUGCUUGUACCUCUUCAUAUACAGAGUUUCUUCCUUGGCAAAAAAAGCUACACAUUUUCCAUGCUUUUUUCUGCUUUUCUGAACUGGAACAUGUUGCUGUGCUGCUAGGAGCACCUAGCUUUGCAGGAUCUGCAAAAGACAAGGUAUCCAUGCAUUCCUUUUGGAGGUCUAUUUCUGACAGUCCCUAAAAAAACAAUUCAGAACUCUCCUAAAUUAUAACACAGCAGGUUUGUACCUACUUUCAGUCAACAAGGCCUUGUUCUGCCUCAGGGAUUUUACUUGUAUCUUAUGAUAUAGUGGAGUAGAGGAGAAGCAGGCAAUAGUCAUUUUCAUCCCUAACUAUCUUUCAUUCAAAUGGAAGUUGUGAAGUGAUGGGUUGAAAGAAAGAGAUGUGAAUACGGUACUGCUAAAGGAAACACCCUGCACUGAGAAGCUGUGAUUACAAGUUCCCUGAGUUCCACCUCUGUUUCCCAUUUUUCAAAUGCUUUGGGAUUUGAUAUGGGGUCAAAAGCCACUGUCUUUUGAAUUGUGGCCUUUCUCUUUUCACAAAGCUAUGGUAUAUUGCAGGAAGUUUGGAUCCAGUUGUGUCUCCUGCCUUUUCAGGCUCUGACAGUAAUUAAGAGUAUUACUUUUUGUAUUGUUUUAGUCAUCCACUGUCUCCAUAGUUGAUGAUAAAGCAAAUGGCAGGAAACAGGAACUUAAUGAGAUGAAACAAAGGGAGUACAGGACUGGCCUAAACUGAAGAACUGUUUAAACUGAGCAAACAAACAAAAAAUCCUCAAUACUAUAUUGAAACAAGCAAGCCUGUGUUUCAAGAUCCUUUUUUUUAUUUUAACUUCAUAGUUCUGUUGGUUUAUUUAGUUCUAGUGCUGGAAACAGCUGAGAAGAUAACUCUUUUACAUGAAAUUUUAAAUGCAGCAUGGUAAUUAUUUGUCAUUAACAGGGUGUAUCUUUUAGUUUCUUGAGGGUCUUUUUAGAAAUAAUUGGAAUGAUACAGCAAUUUAAGAAACAUGUUAAUAUUUUUCUUGGUUAAGCUUUAUAAACAAAUGUUUUCAUAGAUAGUGACUGUUGGUUGGCUACACCAUUGCCAGGUCUGGGUCUAAAACAUAAAGUUAGAGGGGUUGCAGAAAGAAUGGAUACUACAUUGAGAUAUUGAAGUUAACAUUGUUUUUGCACAAAUCUUAAAUUAGUGGGAUUUUAUUGCUUAAAAAGAAAUUAGUUUCUGAAGGUACUCAACUGAUAACAACAGAUCAGCCUAACUGUGCUCCUCAAGACUCAGUUCUGCAGCCCACAGCUUAGAGUCAAGAGUGGGAAACCGGGAGCAAUAAGGGAGCAAAAACAUUCUCCUUACUUUUUGUAUCUGGGUCAUCUUAAUUGAUCCCAGCAGACUUAACCAUUGCUGGGCUACCUCAAUCAACCACCUACAUCGUCACCUGGAGGAACUUGCCUCUUUUCUAGCAGCUGAGGCAAUACCUUUGGGGAAGAAAAGGUUUCCUCUGUUACUCCAGGGAAGAUUUUUAACCUCUUCAUUGCCAUAUACAUUGCCAGGGCAGUCACCCUCAGGAAAAUAUGACAAACCAAGACUUGUAUCUCCCAUACUACCAUAUAUUCUUUUAUAGUCCUAGAAAGGAAGUUGUGCACUCUACAGAUGGAAUAGAUACUUUCAAUAGCUAUAUAUUUAAUUGGUUUUCUUACUACUUCGUGCAUUUAGCUGAGUUCUUAAUGUCUUUCUGAAAAAUUUGGCCAGCAAGAGCAUUAACUACAAUGCCUUUAAAAUACACUCAAUUUUAAGCUGGUCUAAACCAUGCUAAACAGAUAAAAAUCACUCUUGACUUGAAUAGUAAAUGUUGAGGUUAGAAAAGUGCUUUCAUGGUUACUCUACAGCUUAUUAUGUAUUUCUAGGUAGAAUAGAAUACUGCAAAAAAUCCUAAAGCUGUUUAUUAAAUAUGGCAUUUUUUUUUCAACACUUUAUCUGAAUUUCUAAAAUGAGGAAGCAUUAAAAUCUCCUUUUAGAAGGAUCACUGCUGUACGAUUUUUACUUUCAGGUCUGGAUGUGCUUUUAAUGGUCUCUUACAAGUCAUGUAUUGUCCACUUCCCACUAUAACCAGUGCUACUCUUUUUUAAAAUUUUGUUUUUAUAUCAAUGUUUCAGGCGUUUCCUGUUCUCCAGAACACACCUCUGCGGCCUGUACAGUUCGGGCUGGGGGGAGGGGGAUUGCCAGCAAUACAGGUUUAAUGCGUACAUAUACAAUGUUAAGGAUGUGCAUUCUUCUGCUUCCCACAGCUGCACAGCUCACAUGUGAGUCAUUUACAGUCACCUAGUUAAGAUGAAAAAAAUCUUAAUAUUGUUCUUAUCAGUUAAACUGAUGCUAAGAACAGGCUUUGGGAUUUCUCAGAGGGAGGUACCCAUGUUUGUGUUGUUUCUGCCUCCAGAUAAGCUUCAGCAUUUUUGUGUAGAUAAGCUUUAGCUUCUUCGUGUUUUUGAAGUCCAUGUAGUAUAGUGAGCUUGGUUUUAUACUACUGCAGUUCAGGCAGCAAUCCUGUCGAAAGGAUGAAAGGCAGAAACAAUCACAGCUCUUGAGUCAUCAUAGCUUUUAAGCGGGAUGUAGCCAGCUUCUUGCUUCACCAGGAUGACAUUUAGAGUCAGUAAAAGAUUUGAGGAGAAAUGCACAUUGGAAGCCUAUCCCAAGCACAGAAAGCACUGUGAAGCUCACUGCCUGCCAUACUUACUGUAUGAGUGGUUACUGAAAAUGAAAACUGAAACAAUUUCUUGUCUGAUGCAUUGACCCCCUGAAAAACAGUGAAUUCUGACUGCAUUAGAAAGUUGAGAACUGAUUGCAUAUGACAAAUCUCUUAAAAGUAAAAUAAACAGUGGAAUACAAUUGGAGAUUAGGUGGAGAAUUCUAAAGUAAGUGAAAUGAAGGCUUGUAGCUGCUAAGACUUAACAAUUCAACCUCAUUUCCCUGAAAAGAAAAUAAUGGUAAAAAAAUUAUAUUGGUAGCAAAAAUAAAGUAGUGAGAAAUGAUUACCUGUGGAAACCAUACAUUUAAGACAUGAUCUUAAGAAAGGAAAUAGAAGGUUCACUUGAGACUCACUGUUCAGUAGCAGACCUGUGUUAUUACAUCAAGCAACUGAUACAGUUGGUUUAGUUUGUUUAUGUCAUAACAAAUUAUGGUUGUAAAGUGGAUUUAGAGGGAGCACUAUAGAUGGUAGUCUGUUCUAGCAAACGUCAUCAGAACCUGCUUAUGGUUAUUAAAUCUCUAUAGCUCAAUGAGAAAAAAAGAGGUUAAUUCAAAGCCUUUAAGGAAGCAUGUUCAUGAUAACUGCACCCACCAUAGAACAACAAGCUCUUCUUGCUUGCUUGUUCUCUUCCAGUGUCCACCAAUGGUAUAGUUCCUUGAAGCUGUUCAUACAAGUCAUAUCCACACUAACAUUGGGAAUAGGCGCCAGCCUGCAAAUAGCAUACAAAGACUGCUUGCCCUACUUCACUUGUAAGCAGUUCACUUAGAAAGAUUCUAUGUUUUAUUCCAGAUUUAACUUUCUAAAGGAUUUUAAAUUUCUCCUUCUUUUAAACAUGUUUAAAAUAUCCUGUCUAGAAAUUAUGUGGUACUGCUGAUAUUUCGUUCUACUGAGCUAUUGUUUUCAUUUUGACUUGUCUUUUCCCUUUCUUUUGAAAUAAGACUUAGACUAAAUACCAAAAUUCGUUCACUGCAUAUAAUGGCUGAGUGAACUAAAAUAUAAAAACCUUGAUUUAAGUAUUUUUGUAUUCAAAGAUCAUAGGCAAGUGUUCAUUUGAAGGUUCAGUGGCAUUUUGAAAUGAGAACAUCAUAUAUAAAGAUGUCAGAGAUGGAGCCUCCCACAGUGAGGUUGAAAGCAAAAGAAGAACAGAAUGAAUAGAAGAGUUUCUAGGUUCCAAGGAAUUUUAACAUCUCAUUACUUUAGAUUACUACACAUAUAAUUUUCAAAUAUUUUGUAUUAUAGACUUUGAAUGUAUUGGUUAAAAUUACUUCAUGCCUGACAUCAAUUUAGUCUUAUUCAUUAUCUCCCUUAAAUAAAACCUUAAAAAUAGCUGGUUUCAGUAAGUGAGCAAUUUUCUGAUAGAUGUAAAUUCCUCAACAUCUCCAGAGAGAUCUUGCUGUAAAUGAAAACAGAAAGACUAGGAGAUAGCCAUCCCUCAGCCUUCCUUCAGCAAUCUCAAUAUACACAUUUAAGUUACUUUAUCAAAUGACAAUGAUUAUGAUAUUAUUAUUUGGUAUAGUCAGUGUUUUGAUUGGUUUUCCUAUAUCUUUGGUAAUCUAAUACGCUGUGUGAUACAACUGUGGUCACCUGAAGUGGUUCUGGAUUUUGAGCACAGAUGGACAGAUCUCCGUAUUUGCUCUAGCUGAGCCACUCCAGUAAUGAAAUUGAGGUCACCAGUGACAUCGUCAGUCACAUCUCUUCUUAAAUCUGUGCCAGUCUCCAUCCCUUACUUCUAUGGCACACCUCUAAUCUGGCAGUAAACAAAUGAGAUGUCAAGAGAAUAUCUUACGUGUUUUCUUUCUUAUCUCAAGUUUUUAAAACAUCACAUUAGAAUAUAUACCACAGGCUUUGUAGUCUCCUCAGUGUUUCAAGAUGAAAAUAUUUGUGUUCUUUAAAAACAAGAAUGUAGCUUCCAAGUCUUCUAGAAUUCUAAAUGAAGGAAAUGUGUUCCAAAAUCUAAAAUCAUAGAGCCAGUUUUCAUAUAGUCACAUAUCCACAACACCUAUUGAAAAUACCAGAUGUAUAAACAUAUGUAUUUAUUUAAGACAAACACAUCUGUCAUUUACUAUGAAACACUUUUUGCAUUUGAAAGAGCUUAUAAAAUAAUUAAUUGAACUCACAUCUGCAUCCCUUCUGACAUUGGAAUUAAAUAUUCCAGUUGUUCUUAUUUAGGGUUGUUUCCUAUUGCUUGAAAGAAACACUGUUUUCUGGAUACACCGAAACACCACUCCAUGUCCAUUGCAAGGGAUGGACUGAUGCUGAAUGGAAGAGCAAAAAGGAGGAAGAAGGAAGGACACCAUAGAGGACAGAACUACCUUCCUCUUUCUUUCAUGUCUGCUGGGAAGGAAUGAGAUGAUAUCCUGGGAAAGAUAUCAGACAGAUUUUACUUCUGUUAACAUGAUGAAGCACUACAAGAAGCUCCUUAGGAAUUAUUUACGUCAUCUUGUCCCAAGGAGACUUUAAGAACAGGUUCAAUAGUGUCUGUCUUAGUGAGUAAUAGAGGUGCAAUUCUCCCACAGUGCAGAUGGCCGGAUAGGGAGGAGGUUGUUAGAAAUAAUGGUCCUUUUGACACAGUGAGAAAUUUGGUGUGUGGUGAUAGAUGAGACAUUUUGAGAGUUGAUAUUAAUCAAUCAGAGCACAAAUAUUUGGGAAGCCUUGCUCUGGAAGGUCCCUUCAACUCACCAUUUUUGCCAUGUAUUGAUACCUGCCUGGGCUGCAUGACAGCCCACCAACAUGCCAGGCCUGAGCAUGCUCAUCAGUGAAUGCAGAGAUGGGAGAGAUAGGAAUGUGAAGAAAAUAGCUGAGGGAAGAGAAGGAAUGAACUGUUUAAAAAGAAAUUCACUGAAACAGUCUGAUAGCAAAGGGAAAAAAAAAAUCAGAUGCAAAGGAAAGAGAGAAAUACAAUCUGAAAAAGUGAGAGUGGACUGAAAUUGCUUGUGAGCAUUUAAGUCUCAGAGUGUCCCACGAAAAGCCAUGCCUUGGCACCUGAGAGGUUAGUGUCUCACAGCAGCACCUACCUAAGGUAAGAAUGCAACCUCUCCAAAGCAGUAAUGUUACAAAAGCUUCUUCCAUCUUGUACAGCACUUUAUUUCUCAUCCUCUUUACCAGCUUCUGAGCAGUUUUGCUUGCUUAUUAUAGGCAGAGUUGCCAGUUCUUACAAUUUAAUCAUUAACUUUGAGGUACUUGGUAUUUUAUUUAAAGCCUCAGCUCCUGUAAAAGCGAAAGGAUUUUUUUUUUAAUUAGAACAAAACUUUCUGGUUCUCAUGAUUGUGUAGGAAAUCUUGAAAGUGUGAUCCCAAAAAAACCUUAAGAUGUAAUCCCUCAAUAUUCAGAAGUCAUCAUGAGAGCAUAAAAAACCCAAGCGUGCUGACAUUUUCUGUUUCUUAUUUCUCAUAUUUUAUUCAUUUUUUUCCCCUAGUUUUGCAGUUAUUGUGCUAAUGUUCAGGAUUUUGUAAAGUCCAGCUGAUGAUCUGUCAAAGUUUGGCAUGGUGUACGUAUAGAAUAAAGGUUUUAAUGAUAUUCUGAUUACAGCUUCCUGUUAGGAAUUUUACAAAAAAAAAGUAUUUGACAUUUGAAAAUCUUUGGCCGAUUUCAGAAAUGGAAAACACACAGAUUUGUGCAGGAGUGUGAAAAUGAGUAACAGAAUCAUCAGCCUCAAUUGUGUUUUUAUGCUGGUUAUAACAAUAAUUCUUUUUAUUCUCUUUUUCUACUCAAACUUACCUUUGCCACCAGGCACAAGACUGAAAACGAUUCCUGUUUCGGAGAGGGCAGGAACACAAUGUGGGUUUUCAGAUUUCCUUUAACUGGGUUUUUUCCUAGCCCUUUUCCUUCUAAAGAUAACUUUGAAAAUCUUUGCUAAAACCAAUCAAGAAGGCUGAAAGCUUUCCUCAGAUUUUUCUCCCCUACAGCUUAUUCAGAAUUAUACAGCAGCCUCCCAGGAUUGGGCUUUGGGGUCUGCAGGCUGCUCGAAUCGAAGGCCAAAUCCUCAGAGGUUCCAAGCAGCCUCAGCUCCAGAUUUGGCUCCUUGUUAGCAGUGGCUUCCAGCAAUGUCUGGAGCUCCUACAGGGAUCAGGACUUAGUGGCUUUUUGCAGCUCCCAACAGGCAUUUGUUUGGGGCUGAUGAAUUUUUAUACUGAAGUUUCUAUUGCAGUAGGAUGCUUCCAGCAGACUGCCUGGUCUGCAAGAGCUGGGAUCCUUUAUGUAUUGCUGAAAUCCUUUACAUGCAGCCAGAUGUUGUGAAGAAUCAGGGUCUUACGCAGCUAGAUAGAGCAGCCUGAUUCUGUUCUCCAUCUCAGUGUUGCUCUUGAUUCUCUUGCUUGGGAAGGGAAAGUUUUCUGGGAACCUUUGGCCUGAAACAUUUCCCAGUUUCAAGCCCCCUCCCAGCAGUAAGCGUGGCCGACUCGCAGUGGUCGGCUGCCAGAUCCCCAGAUCCACCACCCCUCCUCCCCCAUGCUGUCCUUGUCACAAUCACCUCUCGAAAUGCUUUAUUCAUUACGUUUUCAUUGUCUUGAAUUUAUGCACUGCAGAAAGUGGGCUCCUAACAUUAUGAAUGUUGCUUUCUGUCUGCUUGGCGUGUCAUUUUGCUGCCACAGACAGAAAUUUCCCUCAGACAUUUUCUGCUGGAAACUGGAUUCCAGUUGCUGUUUUCUGUUCCAGGCCAUAGAAAUAUUCACUAUUUAAUAUUCCUGCAUAUAUUGAGUUCUAUAAAUGAUUGCUAAAGAGAAAAAAUACACUGUGACACAGAGCCACGAUAAAGCUGUGAUGCCGAAUUCUGAUCGCACAGUGGUAAGAACUGGUGGUACCUGGUGAGAUCAAUCAUUAUCCAAUGUAUGUAAGGGGGGUUGGUGAAGCAACAUGCUACUUGCUACGUAGAAGCUUCCAUAAGCUACACCUACAGAUAGCUUGUGUGGGUGUAGGCAACUGCAAUUCAAGUGUAAUUAAAACCAAAUUUCCUAAGAAAGCCUCUUUCUGAAAAACUAUAUCCUACUAAUGCAAAAUCAGAAGCGUUCUGAAUACUAAUGUAAAUAUACUAUACAUUAGCUUUACAUAAGGAUUUUGAUGAACAUAGCGCAAAGUUUUCUGAGCUGUGUCAUUAACUGUUUUACAGAUGAGAGCGCAAAGCUGAAGUGAGCCGCCCAUGCUGGUGCUGCAGGAAAGUGGUGCAGAGCUCAUUCUGGACUGCAGGCAGAAAUCUUGGCUCCCUUGUGCUUACCUUAGAAGUCUUCAAACAGUAAAAUGAAAGAGAAGGGGACACGAGAGGAAAUGAAACCAUAUAAAGAUAACUAGUCAGACAUCUCUUCCUUCUCAAAAUCACAAAAUAAAAGUUUCAUUCAAUCUCAACAAACCCAGAUGUCACCAAUUAAGAGCAGAAGUAGAAACAGGCAUUUCAUGCCUUUUGUUGUUGUUUUUUUUUAAUAUAGUUUUUCUAUUGAAGCCAUACACGUACAUGUUGCAUAGAUCAGAUUAAUAUUGCACAUUUCCAACUUUCAGUCUUUCUUUUGUGAAAACAACCUGUUCUGUGUUUGCUAAACAAAUGCUUAAAUGCAAAUAAAAAUCAGAAUAUCAAACAACAACUCUCCAAGGCUAAGAAACUGAACAAACCAGCAAAUCCUAUCCUAUAUCACCAUUUCAAUUAAUAGUGCCGUACACAAAGAAAUAAGCAAGCUGAGAAGAAUUUCCACUCUUUUCCAAUGACUCUUGACUCUCUAGUGUUUUACUCUUUUCAAAAUACCAGGAGAGAAUUAGGAAAGUUUUUGUGUAAAAUGUUAAUUUACCUCCUUGCAAAUCUGAGUGCUGUGCUGCAUAACUUAGAAAAGUGAAAUAUGUGGGGAUUUUCAGCUGUCCACCUUUGUCUGAGCAGAGCCAGGUUUGAAUGCUAAAAGCAACUUAAAAUGUCACAGUGUUGAAUACAGCAGUGCAUAAUUUGUAGGGUUGGGUUGUGGAGUGGAAACGGGAUGCUUGAUGUAGAUAUGUAGGCUGCAGUAGGCACAUGGGAAGGGAAGAUACUCUGUGGUAUCACAGAACCCCUGGUACGUGGAGUCACCUGGGGCAGCCUGAGCUGAGCCAGCAGGGCUCUGAGGGACAGAUGGCAAUGUGCAGCAUUCCAAAGGAAAAUGAAUGUGGUUCAUGUAUGUUUUUUCUGUUAAAUUUGUCCCACCUCAUAGCAGAACCAUGAAGCUUUGAGCUGGAGGGAGUCGGUCCUUGAACUGUUGGUUCAAGCUGUUGGAUCUAGUUUGUUGUGAAACUUAGGUUUCAAAACUCUGGUUAUCUUACAGCAGUGUAGAUCCUAUUGAGCUCCAUAAGAGUAAAUCAUGUAAAUCUGGUCUUGGAGUGAGGAGAAGAGUUUCUGGCAUCCAAACAUAAUGAAACAGACACACCACAUGUGUGUGCUGGCAUUACACUUCCAUUCACAGAUUCUACCCUUGGUUUUAUGGAAAUGUUCAUUCAGGUUCAUCCCUCCUUAAAAAUAAAUAAAACCCAGGACCGAUUAUAGUUUUGCAUCAAAGUCAUGUGAAACUCAUGAGUUUGUCACGAGCCCAGAGGAAACGUGGGAGUUUCUUGUUGAGAUUUUCAGUUCACUUGAACUUGAAACUCAGACUGGAACUUGGGGGAGGAGUGAGUGAACACACACAAAUCCAGAAGAAAGAAUAUAUUCAAACAAAACCUCAUGAAAUGCAGCUCCCAGUGGCUUUGCAAGGAAUCCUCACUCAAAAAGUGAAAACAAGUCCAAGCACAUUCCUCUCUCCUGAAAGCCUUACUUAAUGCUACUGAAAACCUCUCUUUCCAGUAUGGGCAAUGAAUGCCAUUUGUUAGAAAAGGAAAAUGUAGGAUAUUUUGCUCAACAAAUGCCCCUCUAACAGCCUUGAAAACAGAGGGAAAAUUGUGUUUUAAUUAAUUUAUAAACAAAAGAUUAUUUCCUGCACUGCCAGCAAAAAUCCUGUUUGCUGACAAGGUUCUGGCUUCAAACUUUAUCAGCAACUGGCAGGAUGAGUCCUUUUAUGUAAAUGAACUCAUUAUUAUUAAUUUCUGCUGGUGCUGAACGAUUUAUGAACUGCUUUUCGAAUAUGGAAAAGUGGCCGAUGAAUCAGAGGGGAAAAAAUGUUCAAAAAGUCCUGGGUCGAUAAAUAACAGUACUCAUUCAUGAAUCCCUCCCGUGGUGUCUUUUAUCUUCAGUAAGGAGGAGAUCAAAAUGAUAAAAUAGUAAUGUGACAACAAAAAAGGACUGAGUGGGCAGAGACUUGUAACAUUGUCCUCUCCAGGCCCUAAUGGGUAGGGGUUGGGGGCAGUACCAUCCGUCCCGAUAGGCAGCUACGUGUAAUGACUCUCCUAUGGUAGAAAUGUACUCUGAGCACAGUAGAGUCUUUUGGACACUGUUGUGUAUGCAAUUGAAUUUACAUUGUGCCUUUUUUCAUGUUUUUUUUCAUCUGUAUUUGAAGGAAUCAGGCUGAAAUAUCAAAUAUUGUAAGUUCCAGGAGGGGACUGUUGUCACAGAGGUGUUGUUUUCUCCCUUAGGAAAUUCUCUGAUGUGCAACUGGUCCCAAAGAACAGACUCAAAUUUAUCGCCAAUGUAAUUUCAUUAAAAUUACAGAAUUUGUGCCCACUAUUAUUAUUCCAUGACUCAAUAUUAGGGCAAGUCUAUAAAAGUGAAGUAGUGAGAGCAGUAAAAAUCUAUUCUCCAAUUAGUUUUCCUUUCUACAGUUUUGAUGUAAGAAGAAACUACAACUGCUCGUUGUGACUAUUUGCUCUUAAAUAGCAUUGUUCAUCCAAAAGACCUUCCAAGUCUGAGUUAAAGCUCACAACAUCCUGUGAGGUAUGAAGAAUUGUAAUAGCACUGGAGGAAAAUGAAGCCAGGAUAAAUUUACAUGCAAAGGUCCUGAAAAGAAUUUGGCAGACUCAGUAGUCAGCGUUGAAGAAUUGAUGACUUUUCCUCCUGCCACCAAUAGCAGAAGUAUCUUCCAGCAGAUGAAAAUAAAAUGAUGGAAUAGUAGCUGCUUCUUAAACAUCUGCAUAGUUCAUAUUAAUGUGUUGUCAAUUUUCUUUAUUUUGUAUUGCCACAGGAUGAAAUCUUAUGCUUCUGUGCCUAGCAAUGAAGUUUUAAUCACCUCAAUAUACAUCGUUCCACAAUAUAUAUUUUUCUGUCUACCAAAGACAUAAUGGCUCCUCCUUUUAUGGGAAACCAGGAUUUAAUCCAGCAAAUAAAUGACAGAAUCAGAGACCAUCCAGUGUCCUGCUCCAUGGUAAUGUCUCUAUUGUAUUUAUUCACACUGCUCAUAAAAAAGCGCAUCACAAAAGUGCCUGGAAAAUAAAACUCCGAUGAGAAGGGACCCAUCAAGUUUAAAUGGAGGUUUAUACUGCAGCAUUAUGAGACAGAGGCUUGCACAUUUGCAGGUCCCAUGGCAGAAAGUGAAACUCUGAACAAUUAAAGCAGCACAGACAUCCUGCCCUAAAGGACUUUCCUUGAGGAAUGACAGCUGUGUGCUUCCUUCCUGUAACUUGGAAGAGCUGCAAAGAAAAGGAAAGCCAAAACAAACAAACAAAAAGCCCAACCAUGUGAAAUGUGAAGAGUAAAAUCUGCCAGAUCUGAGGAGCCAUUGUACAGAUGGAGGUGAGCCAUAAAUCUGCGAAAGUUCCCUGUUCAUGCAAAGACCUGGUUGGAAUUGCUGCACCCCUCCCACACCUUCCUUCCCCAGGUGAAAUUUGUCCUGCAAUGUGAGACAGACCAGCAAAAAAGCGCACACACUUUUCCUGGAGUUAUGAUGCUUUAUAGACUUUCUGAUGUAAAUAUGUUUUUUUCCUCUUCUCCCACAAAGUGUGGGGCUUCCUAACUUGUUGCUGUGUGAGGCAGGUCCCCAACGUGCUCAGUAAGUCCCGUCUGUAUCUGCUUACUUUCUACACAAAUAAUUAUGAUUAUUUUAGCUGAGGAUUAAUCCCAAAUAAACAUUUACAGCUCAUGUUGCUUUCUACUUUUGCCAGUGUUUAUGUCAUUAGGUGCUGGUGUGUAAAUAAGCCAUGCAGGUAGGGCUGAACAUUAAAUAUUUGGGUCUGAGUUGUACAAAUUAAAACACAGGAAGAAUAAGAAUCUAUUUGCUUUAGCUCGCAUGACAGCUAUCAACUUUCGAGCACUCAGAAGAAAUCUCCUGAAGCAUUUUAUGUUUGCCAUCGUCAGAACCAAAGUGCUGAAUUAGAAGCACAGGUGACCCUAGUCUUACUGUUCCACUAGAAUAAGCAAAUAUAUAUGUGGUAUAUAUGGUAUGAUAUGUAAUGAAGCAGAAGUAAAUUGUACAUUCCUUCCUAGCCUUUUUCAAAAAGACAUAGUAUGUUUAUUUAGAGAAAAUCUUUUUUUCCUCAAGAGACACUGGAAAUGUAUAACUUUACGUCAAAGUCUUCUUUUAUUGUCUUUCUCUUCCCAUAUGUUUUGGGUCCUCAAUUCUUUCAGUGUUAUU